CUCGAAGAGCGGCGUCCCGGGGCCGCACCGCCUGUGCCGGGCCUCGUACCGCCGGAGGCGCGCCGCGAGGUAGGGCGACGGGCGGAACCGCGACGGACGGCGGUAGAGGGACGGCGACGCGUACCGGGAACGGCACGACUGCUCGUCGAAGGCCGGGGAGAGCAGCCCGCCGAGGAGGCGGUCGUCCUGGUCGCGCCGAGGCGACGACGCCGGCUUGUCACGGUCAGCCGCCGCACGCACGGGUGAUGUCGCGUGGACUGCACGAUUAAAUCACGGCUCCAAUGUUAAGCUUACAAUCGCUCUUGCACCACGGGCUCGUCUCGCAAAAAGGAUGAACACGAUAGUUGUUGUUGGUUACCUGGCUUUCGCACGAACUGUACUCCUUGCAAAGAGGAUGGCAGCAGGCCGCGCGCGCCGCCGGCGCCGAACGCCAGCACGAGCAGCGCCAUGGUAGCCAGCAGCGCGACGACCACCACCUCGGCCGCGGGCGCACGCCAUCCCCGCCUCGCCGGCUUCCCGGUGCCACCACCCCACGUCCCGACGCAGCAGAANNNNN
RNAcentral lists this long non-coding RNA (556 nucleotides) under Hordeum vulgare. RNAcentral describes it as "long non-coding RNA (HVUL_LNC016817)". Lineage: Eukaryota; Viridiplantae; Streptophyta; Magnoliopsida; Poales; Poaceae. The record is from RNAcentral.